Molecule: long non-coding RNA, 319 nt
Organism: Arabidopsis thaliana (thale cress)
Lineage: Eukaryota; Viridiplantae; Streptophyta; Magnoliopsida; Brassicales; Brassicaceae
Product: other RNA
Exons: 1
Source: RefSeq
GUCUCCUGCCCUCCCAAACGCGUCAAUGACCACAUUAUAGGUGACUAUGGUCCAUGAAUAAUGAUACUUCUGCAUGUAUUCCAUCACAGCACUCAUCUUCUUGUAGUUUCCUGAUUUCCCAUAGGAAUCAAGGAGGAUAUUGAAGGUUCUGAUGUUGGGUUCAAUCCCAGAGCUCUGAAACUUCUCAUAACAAUUCUCCAUCAUUUCUAUUUGUCCAUUUCCCCCAAAGGCUCUAAGAGUUGAGUUCAUGGUCCACGAAUCAGGCUUGCAAUCAUCCUCUCCAAGCAUUUGGAUAAGUGUUGAUUCCAUCUCCACGAAC